Daphnia pulicaria is the source of this 1021-nucleotide long non-coding RNA. RefSeq lists it as uncharacterized. The transcript has 3 exons. NCBI's taxonomy places the organism in Eukaryota, Metazoa, Arthropoda, Branchiopoda, Diplostraca, Daphniidae. The record is from RefSeq and is a predicted model, not a curated record.
CAUAUUUAAUAUAGUGGAAAUUUGGCAGACUGUCUUUGGACUUUGUUCACUCCACAUCUUUCUUAAAGAUUAUUAUCCAGUUGUUUCCGCACUUCGAAAUCUUCUUCUGGAUCAGGACGUCAGCGCCACUUUUACGACGAGGUCCAGCUGGAGCUACUGGAAGCAGAGUUCGCCAGGGAUUCGUUCCCCAAUGGAGAAUAUCGUCGCCGCAUUGCCCAGUUGAUUGGCGUCUCUGAGAAAUCAAUUAUGGUAUGUCAUUUUCAUCUAAUUCAAUUACCUGAAAUUAAUUUCUCUUCUUGAUUGUAUCAGUGGUGGUUUCAGAAUCGCCGUCGACGAGCCCGCCAACUUGGAUCUUCAAGAACCGCAACUUCAACUCGAGUAACAAAUCACCAACAUCGUCCAUCAUCGUCUUACGUUUCUCGUCAACGUCAACAAGAUACUUUUGCAGAAAAUUUGCAGAUACAACGACUCCGCUCAAGUCCUUCCAACUCCUGGAUUCUAUUCUCAUCCACCGGCAGUUCCAGCCCCCGUGGAACCAAUCAACUACUCGACGUCCGGAUCAUCAUCGUCGUCUCCACUUCAAUCCGAAUGGCUUCCUUCCAGCUGUCCACAAGACGUCGUUAGUCCCCAGUCCAACUUCAAUAACUCGGAUGGAACGCAUCAGCAAACAAGACUAUUCCUUCUACUACUGGAACAACUGGGAAUACUCUCCUCCUUUCUAUCCAACUUCUUUGACAAAUUCGACUUUUUACUCCAACACUGUUUCUGAUCCGUAUUCUUCGUCUUACAGUUAUUAUUAAUUAUUCACCUGAAAUAACAAAUCCGUAUUAUUAUCAGUCGUGUACGUAAAUUUGUUAAUUGACACAUGAUUGACAAUAGAAUAAAUCACGAUAAAUAUCUUAAAAAGCUUUUACCUUUUUUUUAAUAAAAGUUGGUGAAUCAGACGUUUCCUAUUCGAUGGCUAAUAGAUAGUGCCGUGCACAGAGCACGAAUGAAUGCCAAGGAGUUAUCGGUUUUUCUA